GCCGGGCGCGGUGGCGCGUGCCGGUAGUCCUAGCUAUUCGGGAUGCUGAGGCUGGAGGAUCUCUUGAGUUCAGGAGUUCUGGGCUGUAGUGCGCUAUGUCGAUCAGGUGUCCACACUAAGUUCGGCAUCAAUAUGGUGACCUCCCAGGAUCGGGGGACCACCAGGUCGCCUAAGGAGGGGUGAACUGGCCCAGGUAGGAAACGGAGCAGGUCAAAACUCCUGUGGUGAUCAGUAGUGGGAUCGCGUCUGUGAAUAGCCACUGCACUCCAGCCUGGGCAACAUAGUGAGACCCCAUCUCU
RNAcentral lists this signal recognition particle RNA (299 nucleotides) under Cebus imitator (Panamanian white-faced capuchin). RNAcentral's name for it is "Metazoan signal recognition particle RNA (ENSCCAG00000005820.1)". It matches the Rfam family "Metazoan signal recognition particle RNA". Rfam says of the family: The signal recognition particle (SRP) is a universally conserved ribonucleoprotein. It is involved in the co-translational targeting of proteins to membranes. The record is from RNAcentral. Lineage: Eukaryota; Metazoa; Chordata; Mammalia; Primates; Cebidae.